RNAcentral lists this unclassified non-coding RNA (226 nucleotides) under uncultured fungus. RNAcentral describes it as "sequence contains ITS1, 5.8S rRNA gene". The record is from RNAcentral. Lineage: Eukaryota; Fungi.
UCUUCGUAGGUGAACCUGCGGAGGGAUCAUUACUGAGUGAGGGCUUCGGUCCGACCUCCAACCCUUUGUGAACCAAAAUUGUUGCUUCGGGGGCGCCCCUGCCGCUUCGGCGGUGCGGCGCCCCCGGAGGCCAUUAAACACUGCAUCAUUGCGUCGGAGUUAAAGUAAAUUAAACAAAACUUUCACCACCGGAUCUCUUGGUUCCAGCAUCUAUGAAGAACGCAGC